RNAcentral lists this transfer RNA (69 nucleotides) under Picumnus innominatus. RNAcentral describes it as "tRNA-Asp". The record is from RNAcentral. Lineage: Eukaryota; Metazoa; Chordata; Aves; Piciformes; Picidae.
GGCGCAUUAGUAAACUAAUUACAUGGCCUUGUCAAGACCAAAUAAUAGGUGCAACCCCUAUAUGCCCCA